RNAcentral lists this long non-coding RNA (469 nucleotides) under Homo sapiens (human). RNAcentral's name for it is "non-protein coding lnc-DUSP4-8:1". The record is from RNAcentral. Lineage: Eukaryota; Metazoa; Chordata; Mammalia; Primates; Hominidae.
GGCUCGGCUUCCUGAGUCAGCACACUCUCCUCUCCAUGGAGCAGAUGGGCCAACCCUCCGGGAAAGGAAGCUCUUCUAAGAUCCUCCUGUCUUCAUUCGUCCCAAAUGGGCUUUGCUAUAAAAAGCAAAUUAAACAGCCAUUGUUCCUUUUCUCCAUGAGGCUGGCAUGCUAACAUCCUGCCUAAUACCAAAGCUCCCGGAUGUUUGUUGCUGGCCUGGGGACGCCUGCCACCGCUUACAGCAAUAAGAAAAAACAUGCCUUCCACUUGGGAACAGAAUCUCUCUUAAGUUCCAGGCCUUUCUUUUUCAUCAUGUCCCUCCCCCCUUUUUUUAACGUUAUGACAUAUAGUACACAGCAGAAAAGGGCUUUCUUGUUAGCUCCAGCAUUCUUCUCCGUGCCUGGCGAAGUACUCCCACGGCCUUACAAAUAGGCUUAGGCGUCUAAUCACAAGAGAUCCUGAAGGCCUGG